AUACAUUUUUGAACGGCAAAUAACUUCUAGUUUCCGAAAAUAUACGGGUUUCGCGAUUUUUCUUGUUUAUUUUGUGUGUUUUUGUUUGUUUUAUGACUUGGUGCUGUACAGUGUAUUUUAGGUCUGGAAAAGGUGUAAGUUGGCAACACUUUUUUACUGUUCCUGGCUCACAACUAUUUGAAGUUAUGUUUUGAUCUCACAAAAAACAUGACAACAAAUACGUGCUCGCAAAAGUUGGAUUUCUAAAAGUUUUAAAAAAUGGACAUUUUUGCAAACCGGAUGCAGAAGCACCGCAGAAAAUUGAAAGAGGACCCAGCUGCCUAUAAAGCCCACCUGGCUAAAGAAAGGCUGAGAGACAAGAUUAGGAAACAGCGAAGAAGAGAAUAUUUAAAAAAUCAUCCAUCAGAUGCGGAGGCUGUUAAGAAGAAAGAUGCAGAACGGAAGCGCCGCAAAAGAGCAGAACAGAAA
This is a long non-coding RNA of Bemisia tabaci, 468 nucleotides long. RefSeq lists it as uncharacterized. NCBI's taxonomy places the organism in Eukaryota, Metazoa, Arthropoda, Insecta, Hemiptera, Aleyrodidae. The record is from RefSeq and is a predicted model, not a curated record.